Molecule: long non-coding RNA, 453 nt
Organism: Ostrea edulis (European flat oyster)
Lineage: Eukaryota; Metazoa; Mollusca; Bivalvia; Ostreida; Ostreidae
Exons: 2
Source: RefSeq, a predicted model, not a curated record
GUAGAACUCUGAUGACUGGUGGUACAUAUAUGUUGUUUUCGUCACUAUCAUUCGUUGGGACAACUAUUAAAUUCAACUCGUAGUUGUUCUCAUUGAACAUUGGAUGGACAGGAUCGCAGGCAAGGUUCUGAGGAUAUCUUCUAUCGGUGUGAGUUGAAAAGGGGAUUUUAUCACGGUGUGCGUGGACUCUGUCACAAUGUACCUGGACUUUGUCACGAUAUACCUGGACUUUGUCACAAUGUACCUGAACUUUGUCACGAUAUACCUGGACUUUGUCACGAUGUACUUCGACUUUGUCACGAUGUAUGUAGACUUUAUCACGAUAUAACUGAACUGUGUCACGGUAUAGCUGGAUGUCACGGUAUAUUAACAUUCAUUAUUAAAACAAAAAUUGAAAUUCAAAGAAUUAUGUCUCUUAGUACUGUGGGAAAUGAAUAAAAGUGAAAGAACAUA